This 559-nucleotide long non-coding RNA is filed under the name Taeniopygia guttata (zebra finch). RNAcentral describes it as "lncRNA (ENSTGUG00000022573.1)". Lineage: Eukaryota; Metazoa; Chordata; Aves; Passeriformes; Estrildidae. The record is from RNAcentral.
CUGUUAUGUCUCCUUAAGGACCUCCUCAACCCUCUGUGUCUUUAUUCUGGUACAGUAGGAGUUUUAAACCCUCAGUUGCGCAGAGUGUUUAGAGGGAUACCAAGGCAAGGGUUUUGCUCUCUGUUUCAGCAGUGUUUACAGAAGAAAAAAAAAGCUACAGUCUAACCAGCCUAAAGGACAUCACAUAUGUGCCCACUUCAGCCAUUAAAGUCUGCUUUGGGACACCGUGUCAGAUUGGACAAUCUGAAGAAGAAGGAAUUGAAGCACACACUUUUGCCUGUCUGGAAGACAAGUCUCCCAGAAUAUACCUUUUCCUACACUCAUAUGACACAAGUCCAGAAAAGGACCUCAAGAGUGUGAAAAAACAAAGUUAAGCUUGAAUAUGAAUGUAACGAAAGCAGUGACACUGAAGAAAGUUUCUUCCAGGCAUCUGCAAAGACUUAUGGAUCAGACAAUGAUGUUAUCGGAGGUAUGAAGUCAGAAAUACUUUACCAGUUUGAAAUGUGCAUGAAAGAUAAGACAUGGUUAGCACUGCUGAUGAUUUUUAGAUUUUUUUCAU